RNAcentral lists this ribosomal RNA (394 nucleotides) under Dunaliella tertiolecta. RNAcentral's name for it is "partial Eukaryotic small subunit ribosomal RNA". It matches the Rfam family "Eukaryotic small subunit ribosomal RNA", at positions 570 to 967 of the family's 1831-position model. The record is from RNAcentral. Lineage: Eukaryota; Viridiplantae; Chlorophyta; Chlorophyceae; Chlamydomonadales; Dunaliellaceae.
GCAGCCGCGGUAAUUCCAGCUCCAAUAGCGUAUAUUAAAGUUGUUGCCGUUAAAAAGCUCGUAGUCGAACUUCGGCGCCUGAUGGCCGGUCCGCCUUCUUGGUGUGUACUUGCUCAUCGGGCGCUUACCUCCUGGUGAACUCUGAUGUCCUUUAUUGGGUGUCAGAGCAAACCAGGACGUUUACUUUGAAAAAAUUAGAGUGUUCAAAGCAGGCCUACGCCCGAAUACAUUAGCAUGGAAUAAUAGAAUAGGACGCGCGUUCCCAUUUUGUUGGUUUCUGAGAUCGCCGUAAUGAUUAAUAGGGAUAGUUGGGGGCAUUUGUAUUCCGUCGUCAGAGGUGAAAUUCUUGGAUUGAUUGAAGACUAACUACUGCGAAAGCAUUUGCCAAGGAUGU